RNAcentral lists this long non-coding RNA (811 nucleotides) under Musa acuminata (dwarf banana). RNAcentral's name for it is "long non-coding RNA (MACU_LNC000864)". The record is from RNAcentral. Lineage: Eukaryota; Viridiplantae; Streptophyta; Magnoliopsida; Zingiberales; Musaceae.
AAACUGCUUCCAGCAUUAAAUGGUCAGAUGUUAUUUUUAGAAUUUAGUGGCCAUAACGCAGAUAUCCAGUGCUUCAUUUCGCAAUUUAUAAUUGCAAAGAUGGUGUAUUUAUUUCACGUUUGUGUAUGCUUUUGUGGAAGGAGUGAACCUAUCACUUUCUUUGAAGCGCCGGCACAGCUCUUGGCUUUGGUAGGUAAUGAUGUUAAGAUGUUGAAUGUGCCAUCUGCCUAAACUGAAGAACACGCUAGUGAAGUUAUACAAAGUCUUUUAUCAUCAAUUAAAUUGCUCUUAGUGUGUCGAGUUUACUCGUAUGUGCUUCAAUUUGGAAUAAGUGGGAUGAAAGAGAUAGCAGGUUUUUUCUACCUUAAAUUUCUACAUAUUAAAGGCUCAAUUAGUUAAAAAUUAAGUUGCUCACAGGAACAUAAACCCUGUGAGGUUGCACUCGUUUUCAUCCUUACAGGAACGUAAACCCUGUUGCUAUCUCAGCUAUGCCUACCAGAGGCUUUGGUAAAGUUGGAAUAAGAGAGAAGUAACUCAUUUUGGGGUGGGCUUGCUGUAUUGAUGAACAUUUGAAGAAUUGCUUAUCAAAUUGGAGAGAUGGAUACAGGAUGUACACUUGCAUUACAAAUUUAUUUAUGUAAAUCACAAUGAAAAACAUGUUACAGUACAUUUUGUGAUUAGGGAACUUUUGAAUUGCUGAAGAAAAAUAGGGAUUAAUAUUCAUGCAAAGCUGAGAAUGCAGAACAAUGAAGAAAUACAAGAAAUCUAUUAUAACUUGCCCAUGAUAAGCAGGACCAGUGAAACGUACCUG